GACGGAUAGCUUGGUUUUGGUUGUGAUGAAGGACGUGGUAAGCUGCGAUAAGCUUUGGAGAGCUGCAUGCAAGCUUUGAUCCAAAGAUUUCCGAAUGCACAGAGAUGUGGAACUACGCCGGGAAUUGAAACAUCUUAGUACCGGCAGGAAAAGAAAAUAAAUUAAUGAUAUCCUUAUUAGCAGAGAGCGAAAAGGAUAUAGGGCAAACCGAAUCUGUCUUUGAAAAGAGAUAAGAGAUGUGGUGAGAUCAAAUGCCUAAGUCAACGAGUCAAAGUCCACUGGAAUGUGGCAUCAUAGAGGGUGACAAUCCCGUAGACAAAGUUGAUAUGGUGUUCUCAAUAGAGUAAGGCUUCCUGGAUUGGAGGUCUGAAUACGGCAGGAUUAACUGCUAACCCUAAAUAAAACCAAAGUCCGAUAGCGAACAAGUACCGCGAGGGAAAGCUGAAAAGUACCCGUAACAGGGGGUUAAAAGACUUGAAAUCUAACAGUUACAGUUUGUUACUGGCCUUAACCACUUUUGUGGAAAGGUUUGUAACGUACGUUUAGAAAAACGAGCCAAGGAGUUUUUUCAUGUGGCGAGGCUAACUGUCUAUGACAGGUAACCAGAGCGAAAGCAAGUGUGAAAGCGCAUCAGUCACGUGGAUUAGACCUGAAGCCAGAUGAUCUAUUCAUGAGUAAGGUGAAGUCUCUCGAAAGGGGGAUGGAGGCCUGAACUAGUGUUAUGUACAUGUACUUGGAUGACUUGUGAUUAGGGGUGAAAAGCCUAUCUAAUCUGGCGAUGGCUGGUUCCUGCUGAAAUAUGCCUACGUAUAAUCUUGUCUAGUUUGUUAAUGGCGUAAAGUACGGAUAAAUCUCGCAGGAGCUAAUGCUUACGGAGAUUUUUCCAACUCAGAAUCUAUUAACUGCAUAAGACAGGAAACAGGGGCAGUAUGUAAGAUACUGUUCCGAAACCCGAACAAGGGAGCCCGAAGUUAAGGUCCCAAAAUUUAUGCUAAGUGUAUCAAAAGGUGUCCCGAACCUGAGACACUAGGGAUGUAAGCUCAGAAGCAGCUAUCAUUUAAAGAAAGCGUAACAGCUCACCUAUUGAGGUUCGAGGCCCUGAAACUGGACGGGGCUAAGCAUAAUACCGAUACUUCGGAGACACUCGGUUGAGUGUUCUGAUAAGCAGGCGUGGUUAUUGCACAGAAGGUUUUUCGAGAGAAAGGCUGGAGCAAUAACCAAUGAGAAUCUUGGUGGCAGUAGGAUGUGAUUCUCCUGAGAACGGAGAAGGUCGAAAGGGUAAGGUUUCCUCGGCAAUAUCGUUUAGCCGAGGGUUAGUCAGCACCUAAGCUGUAUCUUAACUGAGUACGGCGAUGGACAACAGGUUAAUAUUCCUGUACUGAUUGAGUCUUACAUAUUGCAAUUUGCUUCGGGAUAAGCGAGCAUCCGGAAGGAUGUUUCGGCAAAGAAUUCUGUCGAGCGUAAUGCUUAGACGCAGAAAAAUUUGUCUGACAAAAUUUCUGAUUCCUAGAGCCAGUGAAAAGAUUGCAAUCUUGAUUUAAUCAGCUGUACCCACAACCGACACUGGUGCCCUAGCUGAAAAGGCUAAGACCUGAAAGGUAAAACCAAUCAAGGGAAUUCGGCAUAUUGGCCCUGUAGCUUCGGCUGAAGGGGUGUCUAUCUUUGUAUUUUUAGAAAUAUUAAUGCAUUGGUAGAUCACAGUAACAAGGAUGGCCCGACUGUUUACCAAAAACGUAGCUGGUUGCUAAUCUGAAAAGACUUGUAUAACCAGUGAGACCUGCCCAGUGGUGGUUUCUAAAACCCUCUUUCAAGGGGGCUAAGGUCCAUCAAACGGCGGGGGUAACUAUGACCCUCUUAAGGUAAAAUAUUACGAUUGCCUUAGUAAAACUUGACUAAAUGCUGGAAAACCCGAGAAUAUUUGAAUACUCGUUGUAAAUACAGUAAAAAUUUCAAAUUGCGGAUAAUCAGCAGGAAAGACUAGAGUUAGAUAAAUAUUUAAAAAUCCAAAUUGCCUUUUAAGAGAAUGAAUAUCGAACAGAUAAUUUUAAUUGGCUUUAUUGGAGCUAUAGAGAGUGUAACUUAUUAUCAGAAAUUUGAUUCUUAUAAUUGUGUGUGGAAACCAAUGAUUAUGAAAGAUGUCAAUAAAGGAUCAGUUUCGUUAGCAGUUGCACAAGAAAGGUUAAGUAAUGUUCGGAAGAGAAUGUAUUUCCCUUUCCCAAUAGAUAUUAUCUCUAUGAUAAAAUAUCUAAAAAGUUGAAUAUUAAUUAAUUCUAGAAUCCUCAGAGACUAUAUGUCAAGAGCUUAAUGCUAAGAUAUAGUCCGAACUGAAUGGCGACAUUCAGAGUUAAUGAGAAAUCAUUAACCGUCGAUAAACAACCUUGAGUCUAACUCAAAGGAAGUUGAACGUUAAGAAACCGUUAGGUGUCUUACGAUUGACAGUAACAUAAUUGAACGUAAUACCUUGUCGUCUGAAUGGCGACUUGCAUGAAUGGUUCAACGUGGUUGUCACUGUCCCUGGUUGGAGCCUUCUGAACAUAUUGUCCGGCGAAAAGACCGGAGACACCUAGUGGGAAGUGAAGACCUUGUGGAACUUUACUGCAGCUUGUUGUUGUGAUUUUAUCCGAAAUGCAGAGUAUAGGUAGGAGCGUCGAGACGCGUUUUCUGGAACGCGUGGAGCAACAUUGUAAUACUACCCAUUUUUGCUAAAGUUGCUUACUCUUUAUGGGGACAGCAGCUGGCGGGCAGUUUGACUGGGGCGGUGCCCUGUCGAAAAGAUAUCGAUAGGACCCAAAGAUGAGCUCAUCCAGCUUGGAAAUCUGGAGUUGAGUGCGAGGGCAAAAGCUCAUCUGACUGUAUUUUGAAAAGCAAGAAAUGCAGAGAGGAAACUCGGGCCUAGUGAACCCACGUGCUUUUUUAAUAGAAGCCGUGUCUGAUAGAAAAGUUACCCCAAGGAUAACAGGCUUGUCGCCCCCGAUAGUCCAUAUAGACGGGGCGGUUUGGUACAUCGCUGUCGGCUCUUCCUAUCCUAGCCGUGCAGAAGCGGCUAAGGGUGCCGGAGUUCACGUAUUAAAAGGGAUCGUUAGCUGGGUUAAGAACGUCGCGAGACAGUUUGUAUAAUAUCUACUAGGUGUGUUGUUGUCUGAGUGGAACGACUUUCUAGUACGAGAGGAACGGAAGUCGGAUGCCUCUGGUGAGCAGUUGUCAUUUGGCAGGCUGCAUAGCUACGCAUUGUAUGGAUAAGAGCUGAAUGCAUCUAAGCUCGAAACCAUCCGCAAAACGAGACAACUAAGGCCGUCAUAGAAGAUGACGUUGAUAGAGCUCUUGUGUAAG
This 3330-nucleotide ribosomal RNA is filed under the name bacterium (Candidatus Gribaldobacteria) CG23_combo_of_CG06-09_8_20_14_all_37_87_8. RNAcentral describes it as "bacterial LSU rRNA". It matches the Rfam family "Archaeal large subunit ribosomal RNA". The record is from RNAcentral. Lineage: Bacteria; Candidatus Gribaldobacteria.